UGGCUUUUUAGUGGUGGUGGCUGGUUCUAAUCAAGUGCUGAAACACUGGGAAUCUUUGCAGGUUCCAGCUCAAAAUCUGCUGCUUCAACAUUGAAGUUCUUGUUUACUUGUAUUAUUUAUAGGUGAAAGUCAUGCCUUUUUUUAUUGUGGACUACAGAUUUCCCUCUAUUUUAUCUUAGAAUUUUACAGUCGGAUCAGUUGUUUAGUAAUUUAUUUAAAUUACAGACUUAGUUUGCCUUGAGCAGUAAUUUAUGUUGUAUCUUGAAUCAAAGAUGAUUCUUAGCAGUUUAAGCUUCUCUUCCACACUGGUUUUUUAGUUGAUGUUAUGUGCUGGUUUUAUCUUGAUGUCACUAUGUCAAGGUGUCUUGCUUGCUCAGUCUUCUUUCUAGCACAGGUUUGGUUCUGGUGACGACGAU
Molecule: long non-coding RNA, 416 nt
Filed under: Olea europaea subsp. europaea
Lineage: Eukaryota; Viridiplantae; Streptophyta; Magnoliopsida; Lamiales; Oleaceae
Source: RNAcentral